Molecule: ribosomal RNA, 163 nt
Filed under: uncultured Metschnikowia
Lineage: Eukaryota; Fungi; Ascomycota; Pichiomycetes; Serinales; Metschnikowiaceae
Description: partial 26S ribosomal RNA
Rfam family: Eukaryotic large subunit ribosomal RNA
Source: RNAcentral
AAACCAACAGGGAUUGCCUCAGUAACGGCGAGUGAAGCGGCAAAAGCUCAAAUUUGAAAUCCUCAGGGAAUUGUAUUUUGAAGGUUGACAGAGAUUGAAGGAUUCUUCUUAAGUUCAUUGGAAAAUGACGCCAUAGAGGGUGAUAGCCCCGUGAAGAAACCAA